This 496-nucleotide long non-coding RNA is filed under the name Capra hircus (goat). Its description in RNAcentral is "lncRNA (ENSCHIG00010015315.1)". Lineage: Eukaryota; Metazoa; Chordata; Mammalia; Artiodactyla; Bovidae. The record is from RNAcentral.
GAAGCAACUUAGCAGCAGCAGCAGCAGCAGCAGCAGCAGCAGCAGCAGAGUGCAUCCUAGGCACUCAAAUGGUAUCUAGGGAAUUAUUCACACUGCAUAGCAGUUUAAAGCUAAAGACUACCUUGGAACUGAGGAAUUCCAGCAGAGGGUCACUUUCUGAAAAUGUUGCUCUAUCACGGUGAAGGCCUUGGCCUGGCUCCCUGGCUGAGAUUCCUCACCCAGAAUCCCCACCUCUAAUGCCUGCCCUUCAAAACUCCUUCCCAGCUGGGUUUGAAAGAAAUGCCCGAAGAGCCCAUUCAGUUCUCAUGUUUCUGGAGGCACCACCCAGUCGGCUCAGAGAAUUAUCUUGAAAUGCUUUGAGAUCUGUAUUCACUUCACAUAUUUUUCAAUGGUUUGGCAUCCAUCAGGCAAGGGGACAGGCAUAGUAGUUCCCGGGGUGAGUGAGACAGGCUUGGAGCCCACCCUCAAGGAGCUUAUGAUCUAGUGAGGAAGACAC